GCGAGCGCGGGGCCGACAGAGCAUCUGACUACGGAUCAGAAGGUUAGGGGUUCGAGUCCCUUCGGGCGCA
This 70-nucleotide transfer RNA is filed under the name Longispora fulva. RNAcentral's name for it is "tRNA-Arg". It matches the Rfam family "tRNA". From Rfam's summary of the family: Transfer RNA (tRNA) molecules are approximately 80 nucleotides in length. Their secondary structure includes four short double-helical elements and three loops (D, anti-codon, and T loops). Lineage: Bacteria; Bacillati; Actinomycetota; Actinomycetes; Micromonosporales; Micromonosporaceae. The record is from RNAcentral.